GUGGGGAAUAGUGGACAAUGGGCGAAAGCCUGAUCCAGCAAUGCCGCGUGAGUGAUGAAGGCCUUAGGGUUGUAAAGCUCUUUUACCAGGGAUGAUAAUGACAGUACCUGGAGAAUAAGCUCCGGCUAACUCCGUGCCAGCAGCCGCGGUAAUACGGAGGGAGCUAGCGUUGUUCGGAAUUACUGGGCGUAAAGCGCACGUAGGCGGCUACUCAAGUCAGAGGUGAAAGCCCGGGGCUCAACCCCGGAACUGCCUUUGAAACUAGGUAGCUAGAAUCUUGGAGAGGUCAGUGGAAUUCCGAGUGUAGAGGUGAAAUUCGUAGAUAUUCGGAAGAACACCAGUGGCGAAGGCGACUGACUGGACAAGUAUUGACGCUGAGGUGCGAAAGCGUGGGGAGCAAACAGGAUUAGAUACCCGUGUAGUCC
RNAcentral lists this ribosomal RNA (425 nucleotides) under uncultured bacterium. RNAcentral's name for it is "partial 16S ribosomal RNA". It matches the Rfam family "Bacterial small subunit ribosomal RNA", at positions 354 to 796 of the family's 1533-position model. The record is from RNAcentral.